Molecule: ribosomal RNA, 429 nt
Filed under: Bacteroidota bacterium
Lineage: Bacteria; Pseudomonadati; Bacteroidota
Description: Bacteroidetes bacterium partial 16S ribosomal RNA
Rfam family: Bacterial small subunit ribosomal RNA
Source: RNAcentral
UAGGGAAUCUUCCGCAAUGGACGCAAGUCUGACGGAGCAACGCCGCGUGAGUGAAGAAGGAUUUCGGUUCGUAAAACUCUGUUGUUAGAGAAGAACAGCGCAUAGAGUAACUGUUAUGCGUGUGACGGUAUCUAACCAGAAAGCCACGGCUAACUACGUGCCAGCAGCCGCGGUAAUACGUAGGUGGCAAGCGUUGUCCGGAUUUAUUGGGCGUAAAGCGAGCGCAGGCGGUCAAUUAAGUCUGAUGUGAAAGCCCCCGGCUCAACCGGGGAGGGUCAUUGGAAACUGGUUGACUUGAGUGCAGAAGAGGAGAGUGGAAUUCCAUGUGUAGCGGUGAAAUGCGUAGAUAUAAGGAGGAACACCAGUGGCGAAGGCGACUCUCUGGUCUGUAACUGACGCUGAGGCUCGAAAGCGUGGGUAGCAAACAGG